Molecule: ribosomal RNA, 301 nt
Filed under: uncultured bacterium
Lineage: Bacteria
Description: partial 16S ribosomal RNA
Rfam family: Bacterial small subunit ribosomal RNA
Source: RNAcentral
CAGCAGCCACGGGAAUACGGAGGGUGCAAGCGUUGUCCGGAUUUAUUGGGUUUAAAGGGUGCGUAGGCGGCCUAAUAAGUCAGUGGUGAAAGCCUCCAGCUUAACUGGAGAACUGCCAUUGAUACUGUUAGGCUUGAGUAUACUUGAGGUAGGCGGAAUUGACAGUGUAGCGGUGAAAUGCAUAGAUAUUGUCAAGAACACCAAUUGCGAAGGCAGCUUACUAAAUUAUAACUGACGCUGAGGCACGAAAGUGUGGGUAUCAAACAGGAUUAGAUACCCCCGUAGUCCCUGUCUCUUAUAC